RNAcentral lists this long non-coding RNA (1811 nucleotides) under Nicotiana benthamiana. RNAcentral's name for it is "long non-coding RNA (NBEN_LNC008688)". The record is from RNAcentral. Lineage: Eukaryota; Viridiplantae; Streptophyta; Magnoliopsida; Solanales; Solanaceae.
UGGCGGGUAAAUUGUAAAAGUAAAAUAAAUAAAAGACUAUUAAAUUAGAGAAAAAUUAAAUUCAUGCUCAAAUUUGAUUCAUUCCAUUUAAACCACCCAACCCCACGACCCAUAUUCAUAAUUCAAACAACUUCACACCCAACAAACACUAAUUAACCAAGCAAAAUAUCUGACAGAAGGCAACAAGAAAGUAAGGACUAAAGGAAGCUAAAAUACUAAUAACUACGAGGUAAAGAAAUGUGAACCAAAGCCAUUAGGAAGAGCCAUUUAAAGAAUACUAUCCCAACUCCAUGUCAAAUUCCUAAGUUCACACUUAAUCAAACAUAAAAUUGUUUUGUUCGCUUUUUAUUCUGAAACCCAGAUACGUGAUGACCAUAGCUUUGGGGCUACUGGCCUUUAAGAUUAAAAGGCUACCAUAUAUGAAAUCACUCCCAUAAUAUUUUAUGAGACUCAAACAAAAGAGAAAUUAAGAGUAACAAAUCAACACCAAGUUUAAAGGAACAAAUUACAGAAUAAUAAGGGAGGAAAAGAUGUGAACCUGAAAUAGCAAUUUUCCUUGAAUAGCAAAAUGAAGCAAGUCGGCUAUAAAUUUUGAGUUCAGAAACCGAAUGAGAAAAACAACGCAAGACAUAGAGGCGACACAGAAUCACGACCGAACCCGGAAUGCUCGAGCUCGAACUCCCACUGCCUCAAAUGGCGACCAGAGCUCACUCCAACUCCAUUUUGAUUGUUUCUUAGAAAUGGCUUAAAAUUAAUGUUUUGGAGGAACAGCGAACGCCAGACUCUACUAAAGUAUAUAAUUGAAGAUUCGAUUGAGCUUUUUUAAAAAAAAAAAGAAAACGAAAAAAAAACAAUUGAAGAAUCCAAAGUUUUCGAUCAAGGAUGGGAUUUUUGUUCUCUGUUUUAUGAGUGCUUUUGUUACUGUUUAACCAAAAAAAAUUAUUUGGUCAAAGCUAGACUUUUGAGAGAAGAAAUCGGGUUACUGAUAAUCAAGAGACCAAAAAGAAUAGGAGGCUUUAUGAGAAUAUAAAUAAAGCAAUAAAAAGUUUGUAUUUCAAUAUGAUGUGAAUGGUUUCCGUGUCCUUACAAAUGAUGAAACUUCCUCCUUUUUUAGGUAAUAAGGAGUAACUGUUUAAUCUAAAUAAUAAAGGACAUUUAAUGAGACGUUACACAAUCAUUGCUAUUAAAUACUGAUUCUAUAACGUAUCUGACAUUUAAUAAUGAAUUUAGACUACUUUUUGCUAUCAGAUUCUCGUCUUUAGCGCUCUUUUUACUCGUUGGCAUUAAAUGACUUGAAUUGGUACAGAACUACCAUCAGAUUCUCGUCUUCAGUACUCUUUUUACCCGGUGGCAUUAAAUGACUUGAAUUGGUAUGAAACUCGUGUCUAAACUCCUUCCCGUGCCUGUUUACAUUUUUCUUCCCGUAUCUGUCGUCUCCCGUGCCUUUUAUUGGAUUAUUACACUUUGACUAUUUGACCCGCCCACGUGUCAUGCCACAUCAUCUUUAAUUUAAAUUCAGUUUUUUCCCAAUACAGAUAGUCCCCCCACUUUCCAUUUAUUUGUCAAUUAAAUAAUUGGGAAGUGGAUCUUCAUAAAAAAGAAAUUUUUUGUCACAAUUAAUGCGUCUGACAGUAUUGACGCCUCAGUUGUCUUUAUCAUUUAAUGCUUCAUACACGUGUUAUCCUUUGAUUGGAUCUACAAUUUUACACCCUUUUUCAAAGCCUCUUUAUUCCACUAUUCACGAAGUGAUAGUUACCUUUAUUAUAGGCUUUCCAUCAUUACACUUCUAAGACGGUUGUCAUCAUAUACAU